UGGGGGAUAACGUUCGGAAACGGACGCUAAUACCGCAUACGUCCUACGGGAGAAAGCAGGGGACCUUCGGGCCUUGCGCUAUCAGAUGAGCCUAGGUCGGAUUAGCUAGUUGGUGAGGUAAUGGCUCACCAAGGCGACGAUCCGUAACUGGUCUGAGAGGAUGAUCGGUCACACUGGAACUGAGACACGGUCCAGACUCCUACGGGAGGCAGCAGUGGGGAAUAUUGGACAAUGGGCGAAAGCCUGAUCCAGCCAUGCCGCGUGUGUGAAGAAGGUCUUCGGAUUGUAAAGCACUUUAAGUUGGGAGGAAGGGUACUUACCUAAUACGUGAGUAUUUUGACGUUACCGACAGAAUAAGCACCGGCUAACUCUGUGCCAGCAGCCGCGGUAAUACAGAGGGUGCAAGCGUUAAUCGGAAUUACUGGGCGUAAAGCGCGCGUAGGUGGUUCGUUAAGUUGGAUGUGAAAUCCCCGGGCUCAACCUGGGAACUGCAUCCGAAACUGGCGAGCUAGAGUAUGGUAGAGGGUGGUGGAAUUUCCUGUGUAGCGGUGAAAUGCGUAGAUAUAGGAAGGAACACCAGUGGCGAAGGCGACCACCUGGACUGAUACUGACACUGAGGUGCGAAAGCGUGGGGAGCAAACAGGAUUAUAUACCCUGGUAGUCCACGCCGUAAACGAUGUCAACUAGCCGUUGGGAGCCUUGAGCUCUUACUGGCGCAGCUAACGCAUUAAGUUGACCGCCCUGGGGAGUACGCGCCGCAAGGUUAAAAACUCAAAUGAAUUGACGUUGUGCUCGGCACAAGCGGUGGAGCAUGUGGUUUAAUUCGAAGCAACUCCUCACAACCUUACCAUGCUCUUGACAUCCAAUGAACUUCUCUAGAGAUAGAUUGAUGCCUGUCAUGGAAGCAUUGAGACAGGUGCCUGCAUAUGCUCGCUCACUGCUCUCGUGCUCGUGAGAUGUUGGAGCUGUAGUUCCUCAGUUAUCGAGUCGUCGACUCAUC
This 1000-nucleotide ribosomal RNA is filed under the name Pseudomonas sp. Its description in RNAcentral is "bacterial SSU rRNA". It matches the Rfam family "Bacterial small subunit ribosomal RNA", at positions 137 to 1113 of the family's 1533-position model. The record is from RNAcentral. Lineage: Bacteria; Pseudomonadati; Pseudomonadota; Gammaproteobacteria; Pseudomonadales; Pseudomonadaceae.